UAAUACGAAGGGCCCGAGCGUUAAUCGGAAUCACUGGGCUUAAAGCGUACGUAGGCGGACGCGCAGGCAUCUUGUGAAAUCCCCCGGCUCAACCGAGGAACUGCUUGGUGAACCGCGUGUCUUGAGGCAAGUAGGGGCUGUCGGAACGAUAGGUGGAGUGGUGAAAUGCGUUGAUAUCUAUCGGAACGCCGAAGGAGAAAUCAGGCAGCUGGGCUUGUUCUGACGCUGAGGUACGAAAGCGUGGGGAGCGAACGGGAUUAGAUACCCCGGUAGUCCACGCCGUAAACGAUGUGCACUAGAUCGAGGGGGUUCUGACACUGCUCUCGGUCGAAGCAAAAGUGUUAAGUGCACCGCCUGGGGAGUACGGUCGCAAGGCUA
Molecule: ribosomal RNA, 378 nt
Filed under: uncultured Planctomycetota bacterium
Lineage: Bacteria; Pseudomonadati; Planctomycetota
Description: bacterial SSU rRNA
Rfam family: Bacterial small subunit ribosomal RNA
Source: RNAcentral